Lutra lutra (Eurasian river otter) is the source of this 144-nucleotide small nuclear RNA. RefSeq annotates it as U4 spliceosomal RNA. The record is from RefSeq and is a predicted model, not a curated record. The transcript has a single exon. Lineage: Eukaryota; Metazoa; Chordata; Mammalia; Carnivora; Mustelidae.
AGCUUUGUGCUGUGGAAGUAUUAUAGCCAAUGAGGUUUAUCCAAGGCGUGAUUAUUGCUAAUUAAGAAUUAAGUUACAAUAAAUGACACUAAAAACGAAAUAAAUACCCACAAUGAUCCUAAUUAUUUUGCUACAUCUUAUUGU